RNAcentral lists this long non-coding RNA (488 nucleotides) under Cyanistes caeruleus (blue tit). RNAcentral's name for it is "lncRNA (ENSCCEG00000011153.1)". The record is from RNAcentral. Lineage: Eukaryota; Metazoa; Chordata; Aves; Passeriformes; Paridae.
GAAGGAGUCAAGAUGGAGUGAGAGAAUUUGGUGGUUAUGCCUAGUUUGACAGAUAGUACAAGUUUUUCAUAAACCUAGUUUCUAAACCAAAGGAAACUUUGGCUAAACAACAGAUAAUAUCUAAAUUUUCAUUAAUCUUGCUCAUUAAUAUCUAUUUCAGUACCUCUAUUGCAACUAUACUUGCACACUCCUCUAAAGUAUGUCUAUAGUCUCCUUUUCAGGGACUUUCUGACAGAAAUGCCAUGAAGAAGUGAGUCAGUAAAAUAUUUGCCAAAGCUUCCCUAAAUACCAUCUAUCUCAUGACUUUACAUUUCCUGUGAAGGAGGAACUCUGUGGCAUCCCAGUGUAAUGGAAAGGACGUGGACGCUGUGCUAACACUUAUCUCUUCACCCCUCACGAGCAGCCUGAAGUCUGGUUGGAUUGGCUCCCCCUUUUUGCUCAGAUAUGCUUUUCGUGAUCAUACGUCCUUCCCAUGAAUACUAAAUGAU